GCAAACUUGGUCAUUUAGAGGAAGUAAAAGUCGUAACAAGGUUUCCGUAGGUGAACCUGCGGAAGGAUCAUUACAGUAUUCUUUUGCCAGCGCUUAACUGCGCGGCGAAAAACCUUACACACAGUGAUUUCUUUCUUUGAAAACAUUGCUUUGGUCUGGCGCAAGUUGGGCCAAAGGUUUAUUAAACUUCAAUUUUAUUAUUGAACUGUUAUUUUAACAUAAGUCAAUUUGUUGAUUAAAUUCAAAAAUCUUCAAAACUUUCAACAACGGAUCUCUUGGUUCUCGCAUCGAUGAAGAACGCAGC
RNAcentral lists this unclassified non-coding RNA (304 nucleotides) under uncultured fungus. RNAcentral describes it as "partial contains small subunit ribosomal RNA, internal transcribed spacer 1, and 5.8S ribosomal RNA". The stretch from base 1 to 73 matches the Rfam family "Eukaryotic small subunit ribosomal RNA", at positions 1759 to 1831 of the family's 1831-position model. Lineage: Eukaryota; Fungi. The record is from RNAcentral.